This 1123-nucleotide ribosomal RNA is filed under the name Allorrhizucha preussi. RNAcentral's name for it is "partial 16S ribosomal RNA". The stretch from base 439 to 1123 matches the Rfam family "Archaeal large subunit ribosomal RNA", at positions 1423 to 2670 of the family's 2987-position model. Lineage: Eukaryota; Metazoa; Arthropoda; Insecta; Odonata; Libellulidae. The record is from RNAcentral.
UCUUUAUUUAGUAUAUAAAAGAACUCUUUUUAUUUGUUAUAGUUGAUUAGUACUGUUAAGGAAUUGAUGAAAUAAUUUAAAUAUAAUAUAUUUAUAAGUAUACUUACUUUGUAGUACCUUUUGUAUCAGGGUUAAUCAAUUAUAUUAAAAUAUAUUUAAAUCUCGAUUUCAAAAGAGCUAAAUUAAUAUUUUAGUUAAUGUGUAAUAAUUAUUAAUAAUAUAAUUUAGGGAAGAAAUUUUAUUCGUUUUUGAGGGUAUCUAGUUUUUUAAGAGUUAAAUUUAAUUUAUUUUUAUUUCGUAAUAUAUAUAUUGUAUUAUAUUUUAUGUAAAUAGAUUAAAGAAUAUAGGGGAUAAGCUCUAUAUUGUUCUAUAAAAAUUUUAUUAAUUAAUUAUUGUAGGGUUAAAAAUAUCCAUCUUUAGUAAGUCUGUUAUAAUAUAUAUUAGAAAUUUAUUAAUUUUUGUCUUUUUAGUUAAAUAUUAAAAUAUCAGAAUAAAUUUUUAAUUUUGGGUAAUAAUGAUUAAAUUAGUAUAAAAUUUUGUUUAUAAUAUUAUUUAUUAUAUAAUAAAUUAAGGAACUCGGCAAUUAUAGUUCUCGCCUGUUUAUCAAAAACAUGUCCUUUUGAAUUUAAUAUAAGGUCUGACCUGCCCAGUGAUGAAAUUUAACGGCCGCGGUAUAUUGACCGUGCAAAGGUAGCAUAAUCAUUAGUCUUUUAAUAGAGGGCUGGAAUGAAAGGUUUGACGAGGAACUGACUGUCUCAAUUUAUAUGUUUUAAAAUUUAAUUUUUUAGUUAAAAAGCUAAAAUUCUAUUGGAAGACGAGAAGACCCUAUAGAGCUUUACAUAAUUUUAUUUAAUUUUUUAUAUAUUAAUAUUAUUAAAUGAUUUUAUGUUGUGUUGGGGUGACAAAAAUAUAUAAUUAACUUUUUUAUGUAGUUAACAUUGAUUUAUGAUUAUUAGAUCCAUUAUUAUUGAUUAAUAGACUAAGUUACCUUAGGGAUAACAGCGUAAUCCUCCCCCAGAGUUCAUAUUUACGGGAUGGGCUUGCGACCUCGAUGUUGGAUUAAGAUAAUUAUUAGGUGUAGCCGCUUAAUGUAUAGGUCUGUUCGACCUUUAAAUUCUUACAU